Molecule: small RNA, 10864 nt
Filed under: Arabidopsis thaliana (thale cress)
Lineage: Eukaryota; Viridiplantae; Streptophyta; Magnoliopsida; Brassicales; Brassicaceae
Description: ATSL264280
Rfam family: MIR854 microRNA precursor family (bases 2265-2468)
Source: RNAcentral
AACUUUCUUAUUGUUUUCUAACUCACUUUGGUGGUGUUUUAAUCUUAGGAAAGUAAGUGACAAAAUCAAUUACAGGAUGAAUAGUGAUCUACAGGGUGAAUAGUGAUCUACAAGGUGAAUAGUGAAUUACAAGGUGAAUAGUGGAGUCACUCAAUCACGAAGUCAAGACGAUUUUCAAACUUUUCGAUCGAGUGAUUUAUUUCCAGGGAAGUAACAGUUCGAAAAUUUUGAUAACGGGUCACUGCACGUUUUCGGUCAAGUCCAAGGUGUGAUUGAGUACGUGGAGUGGGCGAAAUCAGGCCAUCACUUCCCAAUGACAAAACCGGUGAAGCCCACCUUGUCCCCCAUGACAAAAAUGUCAACAAUUCUAUAGUUCUUACCACCCACCUCUCAUCACGUUUUUGCCAAGGGAAGAGCUCUCCUCACCUACGUACCUCACCUACGUAAGGAGCGCAUCUACCUCCUCCUAUUCCUAUAAAUACCAAUCUCCUCAUCCAAUGUUAAUCACACACAACAACAUCUCUCUCUCUCUCAUACUCAAUCGCAAGCUUCUCUGUCUUUAAGCGAUGCCUUCACUCGAUCGCAAGCCUCUCCACCCUUGGAAGUUUACUUCACUCGAUCGCAAGCUCCCGACGCCUCGCCCUCUUUCACUUGGUCACAACCCUGUGACGCUCAACCGCCCCCAACAUCUCACUUAGAAGAUCUUAAGCCAUCCUCGUCAAGUUCACUCGAUCACAAGCUCAAGACACCCGAUUCUCACCUCUUUCCACUCGAUCACAAACCCGCAACGUCUCCACGUUUGUUUCUCUCCCUCUUUUACUCGAUCGUAACCACUCUGAGCUCAAGUCCACCUCUUUCACUCGAUCACACUACCGCCGAAGUUCAGGAAGUCACUUCUCUCACUCCUCUUCCUUAGAUUUGAUAAAGUUUAGUUGUGAGUUUUGAAUCAAUUUCAGGAACAAUGACCUCAUACAAUUAUGAUUAUCCAAUGGAUGCUGAUUUCAACGGUGAUGAGGCAGAGUCAUGGUCAACAAGACCAGAGAGAGAAGCGAAGGAAUACCAACGUUUCCGAGAAGAAACGGAGCGAGCCGCUGCCAAUGACAGGAGAAGAGAAGAGAUAGCCAGAGGGAAGAGGUCAAUGACAGAGAAUUAUGAGCCAAUCGAUGAAGAGAUGGAAGAUGACGCGGAGUAAAUUCUGGAGCAAACCCGUAAGACCACCAAGUCUUUGAUGAAAAAAGACAAGCUGACCCCGGGAGACUACUACAAGGUUCUCAAAAGAAAUCCAUUUUGGAGAACAAGAUAUCCUCACCCGGAGACAAUAGCGGAGUUAGGCAUCCUGGAGGACGUUCAGCUCUUGUUCGAGAAAUGCCACAUGACAACACUCAUGUCUCAUCCCUAUCCUACCUAUGAGGAUGACACACUUCAAUUCCUUUCAUCACUUCAAGUGGAAUUGUUUGAGGGGUUGUCAGCUGCUGAGUUAAGAGAAGAAGGGCUUGGUUACUUAAGCUUCACUAUCGACGACCGCGACUAUAUCAUGGCGAUCAAGACUCUGGAAACCAUGUUCGGGUUUCCCAGUUGCACGGGAAUGAAACCGAGGUUUGCCCGAGAAGAAUUAAAAUCUUUGUGGAACACGAUCGAAGACACCACCAGCUUCAACUCCGCUAGAUCCAAGAGCAACUCCAAUCGCAAUCCCGCCAUUCGCUAUUUUCAGAGAACCAUGGCCAAUGUCCCUUACGCUAGGGAGAUAUCCGCCACUGUGAUGAAUCAAGACAUGGAUACGUUAGACCUAGCGCUGCUGAGUUUCCUCUGUUACACCAAAGACAGGAAAACGAUGAAAGGAGAUGCCAAUGACACACCCCCGUCAAUGUAUCUCCUCAAUCACCUAUGCAGCUAUAGAGGGUGGGCGCUGGCCAAUGACAAGAAGAACGCAAAAGGAGCCCUUUGCAUUGGAGAAGUGGUCACACCAAUCCUCCUAUCGUGCGAUGUCCCGCUGCGACCGGAUCUAAUCCCACCACGUUGGAUGGAUAUCGUCCAUCUCAAGCUUGCCCAUGUGAUCGAGCAUAAGGUCUAUGACAGGAGGUACGCUUUCAAGUUUGAUCACCCAUCAACAGGAGAAGCAACUAUUCUUCUCCCAUUCAGUGAAAUGACAACCAUCACGGUGAGAGACAACAUCGACUUCUCGUCAUCACAAGAAAUCCUCCAUGCUGUGAUUGGAGGAUCCGCGUCCCGCAAUAUUGAAAAAGUAGAAGGUCAGAGUGACAAUGAGGAGACCAACUAUGAGAACUAUGACACUAGCUGGUACCACAUUGAAGAACACAAGCCCCCUUCACGAGAAAGCAAGAGUCUCGCUGAAGCACACCGGAAGCUCAGUCUAACCCAAAGGUGGUGCAAGUUUCAAGAUAAGAUCAUCCAUAAGUGUGUCAAAGCCAUUGACAACAUGCAGAAGGCACUCAACUGCACCACAUCCACCAGUGCGAUCACCAGAGACAACUCGCUAGAAGACAUGCCAUCCAGGCGUCAUGACAUUGCUCCGCCAAGGCAAUCUGCUUAUCAACAGAGAGAACUCGCUGCCCGGCAAGAACCCGCACAACACUCGUCUCACGAGGUCAGGGAGCACAAGAGGAGGAAAAGCGCUAGGAUGGUCGGAUCAUGAAGCAAGGGUCGGAUAAUGUCGGGCCAGAGUGUCGUGCUCCACAACCUACUGGGGUUGCGAUCGAGCAUAACUACGAGGAGAUGGCUGAGCCACAUCAAGAACCGGUCAUGCAUGCGGAGUACACUCAAGCAUAUAUGGAUGACUACAUCUCAGCACAUUCUACUGAGGUAACACACCAAAACCCUUUGUAAAUACCGCUUUUGUUUUUGUUUAUAUGUUUAUCUUGAAUUCUUUCACAAAUUUUGAUUACACAAGGGACAGUUAAUUUAAGUUUGGGGGAGGGUUCAAGACGUAUUUGACUUGUUUUUUUUGUGAAUAUCUUUUGAGUCUAAAUAUCAUCUAAGUCAUAGAAAAAAUAAAAACAAAAAUUGAAAUUUUUUGAAAAUAAAUUCCAAAAAAAAGAGUGAUCAUUUAGUUGCAUUACAUUUAGGAUCGAGUCUCGAGUGUUUCAUAAAGGAUUGUUGCAUAUGCAUAGGGGAUAAUGAGGAAAUAGCCUUGUAAGCAUGAUGAUUCACUAAAAUGAGUUAUUAGUUCUUUGAGGCAUUUGAAUGCAUGUCAUGACACCUUUUCCUGUCAAUUUGAACUUGAAUCUGACUUAUAAUUAUCAUGUUUGCAUCGUUUUUGAACUCGUGGAUAGAAUACAUAUUUGGAUUUUCUUUCACUUAUUCACCACUCUUGUUAAUCCAAGUAGCUGCUUCUAUUAUUGGAGUAGUUCCCCCACCCUUAACCAAUCCUUCUUUCAAGCCAUGUUAUUUUGUGAGAGCAUGUGAGGCCUAUUUUCAGGAUUGAGCUUGGUAGAACGUGUUAGGUUUGAGCCGACAAGAGUAGUAUCUCAUGUAGUUCCAAUCCGCGUUUUCGGACUUGGUAGGACUAGGUGGGAACUUAUUUGGGGAUUGAGAUUGAGUGUGAAGAGAAAAAGGAAGAAAAAAAUGGGUUAGAGUCUUUAGGAGAAGGAAGCUGAAAAUCAUAUUGAGGUCUCGUGAAUGUUUGGGAAGCACAGAAUUCUUAAGAUAUGCUCUAAAAAAAAAUAUGGCAACAAAACAGAAAAGAAAAAAAAUUAUAAGAGCCAUAAGAGUUUAAGAAAAACUCAAUUCACUAGACUAGACUCAUAGAGUUUAAGAAAAGCUUCUCCUUAAGAACAAAAGUCAAAGAAAAGAAAGGAAACAUUGAUCCAAAAAAAAAUCGAAAUAUGCCUUUAGUGCAAAAGGGUAGACUUAGGAUCAUCAUUAAGUUUAGAGAUAUGACCAUCUACUUGUUAUUCACGGUUUAUGUCAUUGGGUAGAUGGGGUGCUAUUCUUGUAUACAUAGGUUGGCACUUACCUUUGGCAAUCUUCUAAAGCCCAGUCCUUUUUAAUUGAGAGUCCCCUGCUAUUAAAAUCUGAACCACUUAAAAGGGACCAUCUUUGUCUCAUAACCUGUCAGUAGUUGCGCUUAUUGCUUGUUUCACUGGCUAAUGUGGAAUAUGAAUCCAGACGUCCAACGCUCAAAAGGCGUUUAAUGGACGUUGGAUCUAUUAAUUCCAGAGAUAUUUGCCUCUACCCCGAAGGGAUUGGCUUGUAGAGAUGGUAUUGGCUUUAACAAUUUGAUUCGAUAUUGCCUACUUAGUUAGAGAUCGCUAAUGAGAAUUAGAUCAGUGUCUAGCUUUGCUUGAGGAUUUCUAUCAAAGGAGUGAAUUAAUCUGUUGUUGAACUUGUUGUCUAGGGAUAGCUUCUGUGAAGUUUUGUCAACCGCCUGAAUAUAUUUAGGAGGCGACACUAUUCGAUUACCCCAUCCUUAGGAAUCGUUUAUCCAUUUGACUGCCUGUUAUCAUUUCUGCUUUGUUAUUCACCUACCUGUUAUUGCCAUUUCUGCAUUUAGUUUCAUUUCAUUUCUGUUAUUGCAUAAUAGGACUGUUAAUACCAACCAACUCUCUGCUUGGCUUGACUUAGAGCCUGUUAAUCAUAUCUCAUAUGUUUGCAUCACACCGGACUUGAUUGACAACCUAAAAUACUACAACGACAUGAUAGUGUUUUAGGAUUAAUUGAGUAAAAUCCUACUAUCAACUUCUAACACUGAACCGACGAUGAAGGAGGCUGUUCCGGAGCCUCUUCAAUAAAUGUCCCCCGAAUUCGCUGCUUAUUUUUUAUUUUCUUUUGAACUCGUUAUGGGCUCCGGCCCAUUUAAUUUGUGGAAAAUUUGCUACUCUCCUUGAUCUCGAAAUAUUCAUUUUGGAGAUAUGCUUUAAAUGCAGGGCUUACUGGAAGGCGUGAGUCUUUCUGCGAAUCACUCCAGUCUUAAAUGGAAUUGCGAUCUCCUAGGGUUACAAAAUCCCUAUAAAUUGUGGUUCCAAGUUUUCCUUACUUUCUAUCUACCCCUUCUUUUCCUUUUUUGCAGCAUUGGAGUUUAACCUUCGAUGCUCGGAGUUCAUGCCAGACUUUUCUAGGGUCGGAAUGAUGGAUGAAGAUAUCCCAAAUGUGCCAGGAAGUGGGCCUUCACCACCUCGCAGCUUCUUCAGGUCCCAAAUCCGAGGUCCAUGUGCACUGAUCAAGGGACUUUUGGACAGAGACCAAGAAAUCGCGAUGGCAUUCAUCAAAGCUCUUACGGUUCAGCAUCAGAAGCGUUCGUUGGAAAAGAGGAAGCUCCGAAAAAAGAUUAACCGAAUGUUACGUAUAGUCACCGUAAUAUCAAGGGAACUUCACAACCUCAACUCUCAUCUCGGGGAUUGGAUCGAACUUGGAAUCUCCGAAUUCGCUCGCAUCCCGGAUUGUAUGAUGCCGAUCAUCUAUCUUGCUGGCCAAGGAGUCCAAGUGUUUUGUACGUCGAGAAGGGUUUCUUAACUCGAAAUGUAUACGUGGUGAAACUCAUCUUUUUGCUUAUUGCUUGAAUAAAUGUCGUUUUAUAUCCUGUAUUUGUAUAUUCGCACAGUCGAACUUUACUUUUCUUUGUUUGUUCGCAUAAUCAAACUCCUUUCCCUUUUAAUGAAUAAAACAAAAUUUUAUUAGUAGCUGAACUCGUUUCCGAGCUGCCUACGUACCAAUUUCGGAUCAAGCCACACCGUAGUUCAUGUACAUAACAAAAACGCGAGUUAAUUUGAACAUAAAACUUCUUUAAGUUCACCACAUUCCAAGAACGUUGGACUGGCCUGUCUUCUCAAUCCUUUAAUCUGUAAACACCAUUCUGAACCACUUCGGUAACAAUAUAAGGUCCUUCCCAAUUAAUGCCGAGCUUGCCUGGUCCUUCUUCCUUCUUAUUGUCAAAAACACGCUUUAGCACGAAAUCUCCUACAAAGAAAGGCCUGCUUUUAACUUUGGUAUUGUAAUGCCGAGCUGCUGCUUGCUGAUAGUUUUGAAUCCGGAUUAAGGCUUGAUCUCACCUUUCAUUGAUAGUAUCUAACGAAUCAUCGAGCAUCGCUGAGUUUUCCUUUUCGUUUAGGGGAGCCUCUGUUCGGCGAAGUCCAGGCACGUUGAGCUCGGCCGGAACCACUGCCUUCAUCCUGUACACCAAAGAAAAUGGAGUUUCCUCGGUAGAACGCCUAAGAGUUGUGCAGUAAGCCAAUAAAACCGGUUGGAGCUCAUCGUACCAUCCUCCCUUCAAAUGACUUAGGCGCUUUUUUAGGUUACGUAGGAUUGUCUUGUUUACGGCUUCGGCUUGGCCAUUUCCUUGUGGGUACGGUGGAGUAGAGUAACUAACUUUGAUUCCCCAAUCCAAACAGAAAGCUUCGAAUUUGUGUGAAAUGAAUUGUGGUCCGUUGUCUGUAAUUAUCUCGUAUGGGACACUGUGUCGACAUAUAAUGUUUUUCCAAAUGAAGGUUUUUACCGCCGAGUCCUUGAUGCUCAUGUAUGCUUCAGUCUCAAUCCAUUUUGAAAAGUAGUCAGUUAAGACCAAAAGAUAUUGCACGCCUCGGGUUGACCUGUGCAAUGGUCCAAUGAUAUCCAUCGACCACCUCAUGAACAGGUAUGGGGCAGAGAUGGAGGAGAAUAACUCCGAAGGCUGAUGGAUAAGAGGUGCAUGAAGUUGGCAACCUUUACAUCGUUGGGCGUACUUAACACAAUCUGUGAUCAUAGUGAGCCAGUAAUACCCCAUUCUUUUAAUCUUGAAAGCCAUGGCCCUUCCUAACGAAUGAAUGCCACACAAACCUUCGUGUACUUCGCUCAUGACGAUCUCGACUUCGAGCCCAAAAAUGCCCAAUAGAUAAGGAUCGCUGACACCUCGUCUAUACAAAGCAUCCUUUGAAAGACAAAAUUUUGCGCUAACGAUUCUCAUUUUCCUAGCUUGCCACUUAUUUUUUGGGAGCUUGCCUGUCACAAUGUACUACUUUAUUGGCUCCCUCCAAUCAGCCCUCCAAUCUUUAGCCAGAAUUUGGUCGAUCUCGUGGAAUAUUCAUAGUUCUGGUUCGGGAUGCUCAUUUGGCUCAAGGAUAUCUUCCUCGAUUAGUGGCUCGGUUCUUAUAAUUGUUUCUGGAACUGCAUCUUCUGUCGGAUUGAUGGGCUCCUCGCUACUAUUUUCUUUUGACACGCCGGGCCCGGGUAUGGUUGAACCAUUUGACUUUCUUCAUUUGACAGGUGGCAACUCUAUCUCGGGUUCACCAUGAUCACGUAUAGCUGCUUUGAAAUGACGAGGGCUUCUUUUUUUCUCUUUAAUGCUUACUCUGAAAUACAUUCCACCGGGAUGACUCUUUUAACCUUAGGAUCCGAUGUUGAUGCUAAAGCAGCAAGUGCAUCCGUAGUCAUAUUUUCUCCACGAGGUAUGCGAAUGAGUUCGAACUUUUUGAAGCUUUUAGUCAGAUCUUUAACUACAUUGAGAUAUGCUUCCAUUCUUGAAUCUUUGGCUUCAUAAUCUCCAUUGAACAUUGAACUGGUUAACAACUAGUUGCGAAUCACAAUAAGCGAGUACUACUUCGGCUCCAAUUCCUUGUGCUAGCCUAAGUCCUGCGAUUAAAGCUUCAUAUUCUGCCUCGUUGUUAGUAGCGUUAAAUAAAAUCGGAAUGCUUGUUCAAGAAUUUCCAAUGUUGGAGAUUCGAAAUUAUUCCCACUCCGGACCCUUCUUUUGAUGAAGAUCCGUCUACAUGCAAUUUCCAAGUUUGACUCUCCGGUUGCUCUAGUGCGCCAAGUACUGAUAAUUCGGUCAAGAAAUCUGCUAAAACUUGGGCCUUCAUGGCGACUCGGCUCUUUUACUCUAUAUUAUACUCACUUAACUCCACUUCCCACUUCGCUAAUAUUCCGGACUGACUUGGACUAUGAAGAAUUUUUUGAAGUGGCUGGUUGGUUCAAACUUCGAUUUGAUGAGACUAGAAAUACGAACGCAGCUUCUGGGCAGAGGUUACAACCGCAAGUGUGAGAUUUUCCAUCAUUGUAUAUCUGGUUUCUGGAUCUGUCAUGUAGUAAAUUGGUUUUUGUUCUCCACGAUCCUCCCGUAUCAAGACUCCGCUUACUGCAUGGUUUGAUACAGAAACGUAUAAGUCGAGCUUUUCAUCCACUUCGGGUUUGGACAAUACGGGUGGUGUGGUUAAGUACGCCUUAAGCUGUCCAAAUGCCUCUUCACACUUCUCAUCCCAAAGAAAUCCUUUGUUUCCCUUUAGAAAUUGAUAGAAGGGUAAAGAUUUAUUUGUUGAUCUUGAAAUAAAACAGUUUAAAGCUACAAUCCGACCAGUUAACCGUUGUACUUCUUCGAAGUUUCUUGGAGACGACAUGUUGAGAAAGGCAUUGAUUUGAUUCAGAUUGGCUUCAAUUCCUCUUUUCGUCACAAUAUAACCAAGGAAUUCCCCGGUGCAUUUCGCCGGGUUCAGCUUCAUUUUGUAUUGAUUGAGAAUCUCAAAACAUUCUUCUAAAUGCUUAACGUGGUCCUUUUUCUUCAACGACUUGACCAACAUAUCAUCUAUGUAAACUUCCAUCGUCUUCCCAAGAUAUUCGUGGCACAUUUUGUUGACCAAUCGUUGAUAAGUAGCUCCUGCAUUUUAAAACCAAAAUGCAUUACCUUAUAACAAUAAAUAUCUCUAUCGUUGAUAAAUGAUGUCUUCUCUUGAUCUUCGGGAUUCAUCAUUAUUUGAUUAUAACCAGAGAAGGCGUCCAUGAAAGUUAGUAACUCGUUCCCAGUGGUUGAUUCCACAAGACGAUCUAUAUGCGAAAGUGGGAAACUAUCCUUCGGGCAAGCUUUAUUGAGGUCCGUAAAGUCGAUGCAUACCCUAUCCUUUCCAUUCUUCUUUUUGACCACGACGUUGUUUGCCAUCCAAUCCGGGUAUUGCACCUCCCUUAUAGAUCCUAUCUUUAAAAGCUUGUCCACUUCGUCAUUUACCGCCUUUGCUUGUUCCACUCUGAGUUUUCUUAUUUUUUUGUUUUACAGGUUUAAAGCUUGGAUCCACGUUUAGCUCGUGGUAGAUUAUGCUUGGAUCUAUGCCAUACAUAUCCGCUGCUGAGCACGCAAACGAUGCUUUAUUUUUCUUCAAGAGUUCUAUUAGGACUUCUUUUAUUUUGCCGGUUAGAGUGGCUCCAAUUCGAACUUUCCAAUCUGGUUUAUCCUCCUCUAACAUUACUUCGAUCACCACAAUAUCCACUUUCUGCCCACUCAGAAAUCUUGGGAUUAUUCCUUUCUUCGCGGGCUUUGUUAAUUGCUAUUGGAUCUUCAGACGAUGGCUGACUAGAUAACAUGUGCGCAAAGCUUCUUGAUCUCCCUGAAUGGUUUCUACUCCACUUGGAGUUGGAAAUUUGAUGCAUUGAUGAUACGUAGAGGGGACCGCCUUCAUUUGAUAAAUCCAGGGAGUCCCGAGGAUGAUGUUGUAAGUUGUCGGUUUAUCAAAAACGACAAAGUCCACAAUUUUCGACAUCUUUCCAGCUAGAACUCGUAGCUUGAUUGUUCCAAGAGACAUGGCUGAUUCGCUCGUGAAAACCACCAAAGGAGAUGGAGGUCCCACUAUGUUUGCCCGACUAAUUCUCAUUCUUUCCAAUGUACCUAGAAAGAUUAAAUCAACCGAACUACCCGUAUCGACGAGAAUUCUUGACACUUCAAAGUUAGCCACGUCGAGCGUAAUGACUAGAGCAUCAUCAUGAGAUCUUUCGAGGUGCCGCGUUUCUUCCUCGUCAAAUGAUAUUGAAGUGCCUUGGUAAUUAACUUCUUCUCUCAAGCUUGAUUUCAGUAGAACAUUUUGCCUAUGCUUUUAAAUAGCACUAAUAGAAUCUCGGCAAAGUUUGGAGCCUCCAAGGAUCACAUUGAUCUUCCCCUUCGAACUCCUUGGUUCUUCUUUGUUGGUCAAUCUUGGCCUUUUCGAGUUUUGAACUGGAGAGAUCUCCACUGGCCCAUAGCUCUGCGAGAUGCCUUUUAAGGACACUACAAUCUUUGGUUAGAUGUCAUGUUACCCUAUGCAUGUUGCAGUAUAGACUUUCGUCUCAGACCCAAGUGUUUGACUUUCCUUUUCCUUGGAACUGCUUCCCGACAUUGUUAUUGAAAGGUUGCGACCCAAACUUCCUUGGCCCUUAGUUUUCCCUGGGCUCGAAUUUCUUAGUAGGGAAAGUGACCGCCGGUUUUGCUGGCUUAUUCCUUUUUGCAAAGAUUUCUUUUUUGUCUUCUACUUCCAUCCAAUUGUUUGCUCGAAAAAGUGCAUCUUGAAUUGUGUCCGGUUUGUGAAAUAUUACACUAAAAGAAAACAGGCAAACGACGACUACGAAAGGCGACUAACAAUGUAGUCGUCCUUUUGUGCAACUACUUUACGACUGAUGGACGACGUUACGGCAACAUAUAAAUUGGUCAUUCCGUAGUCGUAUUUUAGCGACUACAAAAAUUAGUCGGUCAAUGGUCGUCCAAAUACGACUAUUUGACGACGACAUUACUGAAGGAAAUAAGUAGUCGUAAAGUAGUCGUACGUACAUUGACGACUACACUUCUGACUUUAAUAUUAAGUCGCAAAAAAGGCGACAAUAAUACGACUACCUUUUGUUUGUCGUCAAAUAGUCGCAUAAUUAUCGUAUAAUAUGGUUGGAAAAUGUUUUUCGCGUUGUUGGGUAGGUAUACCUAAUUUUGUAGCGACUACAGUGUGUAGUCGUAAAAUAGUCGUAAAAAUCCUCUAUAUAAUGCACGACACUCUUCAUUCUCAUUCACCAACAAAUCAAAACAACAUCAAAAGAAAAAAAAAAGAUUUCAAAGAAAAAAAUAUAAGUUUAGUUUAUGGUAUAAUGGCGGUAAACUACAAUUAUGGCGGUGGUGGCGGUUUAUAUCGAGAUUGGAUGUAUAAGAGAUUUGAUA